Molecule: ribosomal RNA, 550 nt
Filed under: uncultured bacterium
Lineage: Bacteria
Description: bacterial SSU rRNA
Rfam family: Bacterial small subunit ribosomal RNA
Source: RNAcentral
UGGGGAAUCUUCCGCAAUGGACGAAAGUCUGACGGAGCAACGCCGCGUGAGUGAUGACGGCCUUCGGGUUGUAAAGCUCUGUUAAUCGGGAUGAAUGGUUCUUGUGCAAAUAGUGCGAGGAUUUGACGGUACCGGAAUAGAAAGCCACGGCUAACUACGUGCCAGCAGCCGCGGUAAUACGUAGGUGGCAAGCGUUGUCCGGAAUUAUUGGGCGUAAAGCGCGCGCAGGCGGAUUGGUCAGUCUGUCUUAAAAGUUCGGGGCUUAACCCCGUGAUGGGAUGGAAACUGCCAAUCUAGAGUAUCGGAGAGGAAAGUGGAAUUCCUAGUGUAGCGGUGAAAUGCGUAGAUAUUAGGAAGAACACCAGUGGCGAAGGCGACUUUCUGGACGAAAACUGACGCUGAGGCGCGAAAGCCAGGGGGGCGAACGGGAUUAGAUACCCCGGUAGUCCUGGCCGUAAACGAUGGGUACUAGGUGUAGGAGGUAUCGACCCCUUCUGUGCCGGAGUUAACGCAAUAAGUACCCCGCCUGGGGAGUACGACCGCAAGGUUG